RNAcentral lists this ribosomal RNA (479 nucleotides) under uncultured bacterium. Its description in RNAcentral is "partial 16S ribosomal RNA". It matches the Rfam family "Bacterial small subunit ribosomal RNA", at positions 28 to 507 of the family's 1533-position model. The record is from RNAcentral.
GAUGAACGCUAGCGGGAGGCCUAACACAUGCAAGCCGAGCGGUAGAGUUCCUUCGGGAACUUGAGAGCGGCGUACGGGUGCGUAACACGUGUGCAACCUACCUUUAUCUGGGGGAUAGCCUUUCGAAAGGAAGAUUAAUACCCCAUAAUAUAAUGAUUGGCAUCAAUUAUUAUUGAAAACUCCGGUGGAUAGAGAUGGGCACGCGCAAGAUUAGAUAGUUGGUGAGGUAACGGCUCACCAAGUCAAUGAUCUUUAGGGGUCCUGAGAGGGAGAUCCCCCACACUGGUACUGAGACACGGACCAGACUCCUACGGGAGGCAGCAGUGAGGAAGAUUGGACAAUGGGUGAAAGCCUGAUCCAGCCAUCCCGCGUGAAGGAUGACGGUCCUAUGGAUGGUAAACUUCUUUUGUACAGGGAUAAACCUACUCUCGUGAGGGUAGCUGAAGGUACUGUACGAAUAAGCACCGGCUAACUCCGUG